UGUGACAAUAUGAUGGGCUUAAAAUAUAUAUAUAGAUAUAUAUUAUAUAUUAUUUUAUAUUUAUAUUUAUGAUUAUACAUUCUCGAAAUGUUUAUUAAAUUGAAUAAAAUAAAUACAGGGGAAUAUCUAUUAAGGAAAACAUGACCUUGUAAAAGGUUGUUCAAUUGACCGUUACGUUGCAUAUUUACAGGUGGUGACAUGUAGCAAUUAGUUAAAACACGGGAAAUAUGUGUAUUCUUUGACCAUUAAUCUCCA
This 255-nucleotide long non-coding RNA is filed under the name Mytilus galloprovincialis (Mediterranean mussel). Lineage: Eukaryota; Metazoa; Mollusca; Bivalvia; Mytilida; Mytilidae. The record is from RNAcentral.